CCUUUGGCCAUUUUCAAUAAAGAAAUAGAAGUUCAUAAUUUUGCAAUGUUUUUAUCACUUGGUUCAGUAUUGUCAGUGCAAAGAAACCUUUUCCUAUAUAGCUAUAGAAGUUGUGCAGUAUCUUUAAUAAACCUGUUCAAACCAAGUAUAAUAUUUUUCUUUGUUAGUAAAAUAGAAUACAAGAACAAAGACACUGGUAGCCAUGGACACAAAACAGGAAAGGAUAGCAGGGAUUCAGAAAGAGUGUUUUAAGUGCGGAGGAAGAGAGGGGGCUGUGGUAGCCGUGGUGGAUGUGGCCACCACAGUGGACAGGAUUGCCAUGCCUACCACAUCACCCUAAAUUUAAAUUAAAUUUAUUAAAAUGAAAUCAACUAUCUCU
Stylophora pistillata is the source of this 379-nucleotide long non-coding RNA. Lineage: Eukaryota; Metazoa; Cnidaria; Anthozoa; Scleractinia; Pocilloporidae. The record is from RefSeq and is a predicted model, not a curated record.